RNAcentral lists this ribosomal RNA (253 nucleotides) under uncultured bacterium. Its description in RNAcentral is "partial 16S ribosomal RNA". It matches the Rfam family "Bacterial small subunit ribosomal RNA", at positions 524 to 776 of the family's 1533-position model. The record is from RNAcentral.
UACGUAGGGUGCAAGCGUUGUCCGGAAUUAUUGGGCGUAAAGAGCUCGUAGGCGGUUUGUCGCGUCGAAUGUGAAAACCCGGGGCUCAACCCCGGGCCUGCAUUCGAUACGGGCAGACUAGAGUUCGGUAGGGGAGUCUGGAAUUCCUGGUGUAGCGGUGAAAUGCGCAGAUAUCAGGAGGAACACCGAUGGCGAAGGCAGUUCUCUGGGCCGUAACUGACGCUGAGGAGCGAAAGCGUGGGGAGCGAACAGG